CGAUUUUCUUCAAGCGAGAGUGGAACCGGAACUGGCCGUUCCUCGCUGGGUUCGCCAUCACCGGAACCCUAAUCACCAAGUUCUCUCUCGGCCUCACUGAGGAAGAUGCCAAGAACUCGCCUUUCGUUCAGAGGCACAAGAGGUGAUUUCUGAAUGCCGUGGUAGCCACCUUUGUACUCGAGUUGUGGAGGAGGAGGUUCUUGUGCUAUUUUCAAGGACUAUAAUAACGAAAGAGAGAUGUUCUAGAUACUCUUUUUGAGUUUUCUGUUAUGUUUUGAAUGACUUGAAUAACAUGGGAAGAAAGACUGCUAUUCGUUGGUUUUGAAUUUGGUGCAUUCGCCUGACAUUCUUCAAAAAUGAAACAAAAGUUGUGUUA
Pyrus x bretschneideri (Chinese white pear) is the source of this 376-nucleotide RNA transcript. It is a transcript of the gene named ATP synthase small subunit 6, mitochondrial, with no coding region annotated. The transcript has 3 exons. The record is from RefSeq and is a predicted model, not a curated record. Lineage: Eukaryota; Viridiplantae; Streptophyta; Magnoliopsida; Rosales; Rosaceae.